Molecule: long non-coding RNA, 1154 nt
Filed under: Chinchilla lanigera (long-tailed chinchilla)
Lineage: Eukaryota; Metazoa; Chordata; Mammalia; Rodentia; Chinchillidae
Description: lncRNA (ENSCLAG00000022797.1)
Source: RNAcentral
AAAGUCCUGAGGAAAAUUUAUUUAUCCUAAUGUGUUUGUUAUGGUCCCACUUUACUGAAAAUUGUUGCAUUUUAAUAUUUUUAACAGAUGAGGAUCCUCAUGAUCAACUAAAGAAAAGAACUAGAAAGCAUAAACUGAAGAAAAAAUUUAAAAAUUCCAAUAACGUUCAUGUAGAACAAACAGAAUUGGAGCAACAGCAGAGCCUUUUACACGCAAAAUUACAGCCACAGCAUACAGAUGGCCCCACAAUAAGCAAAAAUAAGAAAAGGAAGCUGAAAAAGAAACGGCAGAUUAGAAAGAAGAGAGCCGCUGGCUUAGUGACCAAGGCCUCAAGUGCCAGCUUUACGUACCAGCCUGAGGAGAGUGACAGUGAGCAGGAAGAUAUCCCCAGAGCCGCUGGAGGUGGAGUCGCCAACACCACGGAGGAGGCCGCAGGGGAUGUCAGCACAGAGGACGAUACAGCCCCCUCCCAGGAAGUCAUGGAGAUCACCAACAGGAGGACCGAUGGCAUCCUGAAUUUUCUGAGGUCAACUCAAGAAAUGUAUUUCUAUGAUGGUGUCUCCAAAGACACGGAUUCAGCUGUCCAUGUGGAAACUGCUGAAGAGCUGCUCCGUUGUCUUGAGUCUCACCACGUGGCUCCCUCAGAUGUGCUCAUUCUGGACCAUAUGAAAACGCUGCUACUUGUGCAUGACACAGCAAGACUGCAGCGUGCCCUGCAGCUGCUCCCGGAGCACUGCACUAUGCCUCUUGGUGAGUAUCACACGUGUGCUCAACACGCUGCCUCACACGCACUGGUCAUGGUUGCCCUGGAAACCCACCAACAACAAAGGGUCAGGAAAUACAGCGGUGUACACAUGUCCUGGGGAGAGUAGAAUCCCACAAAGAAUGGGCUUCAUGUGCCUCUGCUUGAUACAAUUGUUGCAGAAGUGUAUGGGCCAUCUAAUUUUUCAGACUUGUGAGGUAUUGCCUCUCAGCCAAUUUUUCUAAGUUUAAACAAUAUUAGAAUUCAUUUCUUUCCCGCUGGGCGUGGUGGUGCACACCUGUAAUCCCAGCACUCAGGAGGCUGAGGCAGGAGGAUCGUUGCGAGUUCGAAACCAACCUGAGCUACAAAGUGAGCUCAAGGCCAGCCUGAACUGCAUAGCAAGACCCUGUCU